GAGCACAACCUGUUUUUCUAACAUGCAUUCACUGUGGCAGUUCCCCUUCUCGUGUGUCUGAGGUCGCCUUAAAAGCAAAUAUAUUUGGUUUCAGGAAUGGCCACAAUGAUCCAUCAAGGUGAAUGCUUUGAGAAAAGACUAGCUUUCUUUGUUCUGCUGUUAUCAUGCAUGCAUAAAAAUGUGCGGUUUACAUUCCUACCUUUAAGUUAAUUGAGGUAUACAAUUAUCUAAAGUGGAGCUUUAUUUAAGUUUCUCAUUUGGAGGAUUUUAGAGAAGAAAGGAGUACGAGUAGCAUAUAUCCAAACUAUAAAAGAUAUGUAUGAUGGAGCAAAGACUGCCGUAAGAACUCAUGAAUGACAAACCGAAAGUUUCCCCAUAACUGUAGGGUUACAUCUAGGCUUAGACGAUAUAGUGUUGAUAGAUGAAACUCAGGAAGUGUUGGAAUCUAAAGGUCUUCGCCUAAGUCAAUCAAAGACAGAAUAUAUGGAGUGCAAGUUCACUGCGAAUGGAGACCAAAAUGAGUUAAGGGUGAGGAUCGGAGAUCAGGAAGUACCAAAGAGCGACCGCUUUCGCUACCUAGGAUCUAUCUUGCAAAAGAACGGAGAAUUAGAUUGAGACCUCAACCAUAGAAUACAAGCUGGAUGGAUGAAGUGGAAGAGUGCAUCCGGCGUGUUGUGUGACCACCGUAUGCCACUGAAGCUCAAGGGAAAAUUUUAUAGGACGGCAAUAAGGCCGGCGAUGCUAUAUGGCACGGAAUGUUGGGCGGUGAAGCAUCAACACGUACAUAAAAUGGGUGUAGCGAAGAUGAGGAUGCUUCGUUGGAUGUGUGGGCAUACGAGAAAGGAUAAGAUUAGGAAUGAGAAUAUCCGAGGUAAAGUAGGAGUAGCCAAAAUUGAAGGAAAGAUGAGAGAAAAUAGGUUACGGUGGUUUGGACAUGUGCAAAGAAGGCCUACUGAUGCUCCGGUUAGAAGAUGCGACUACGAGAUAGAGGUCCAAGGCCGAAGGGGUAGAGGAAGACCUAGGAAAACUUUGGAAGAGACUCUAAGAAAAGACUUAGAGUACUUGGAUCUAAUAGAAGACAUGACACAGAACCGAGCGCAAUGGUGUUCUGGGAUUCAUAUAGCCGACCACACUUAGUGGGAAAAGGCUUUGUUGUUAUUGUUGUUGUAUAUUGCGGGCCAAAUUGUUUUCCUGUUAUAAUUGUCCAUCUCGUACAUAUUUUCAUGAGAGCGCUCUAAUUGUUCACAUUCUUACCUUUAAGUUAAUUGAGGUAUACAAUUAUCUACUUGUUUCCAGUUGUGUUAUAAUUGUCCAUCUCUUACAUUUUUUCCAUCUCAUACAUUUAUUUCUCUUUAUGGCACUUCUUCGGCUUUGCACUUUCCUUUUUUGUUCUAAUAUUUUCUAUCACUUUGUUUAUUUUAUUUUUGUUUCCAGUGGAACAUGGUUUCUUUCUGGGAAACUGGCAAAGAUGCUAUUAAUUGACUGUGAGCAGAAUGAUAGUUGCUGCUCAUUGACUAUAUCAGGUAUAAGUUAAAUCAUUCAUUUUGCCAUCUUCUGUUUUGCUAAUUCUUGCAUUGAUGUUAUGUGCUUUUGCUGGUAUAACAUCAUCUAGUUCCAUCUUGAUUUGUUUUGUACUAAAAUAUGUUGAUACAUACAAUAAAAUAGGAAGUACUGGAUUUUUUUUUAAUUUGUUUUUUGUUUUAUUCUUAUAUCUUAGCUUUCUGCUUUGACAUGGAUGAUUUUAAAACGUUGCAGUGCUGGACUUUACCCUGCAUCUCGUGGAGACAGGAUUAAAAAAUGAUGCUGUCCUGGAUUUAAUUGUUUUCUCCAUUCAGUAUGUUCUUGUUAACCAUGAAUACUGGAAAUUCAAGGUGAAGCAUACUCUUUGGAGAGUAACAUUGAAGGUACAGCCUUGAUGAAAACUGAUGGGGUUCAGCCUUCUGGUUUGUGUAUAACUAACAUAAAUUCUGAGCUGGUCCUAUUAAUUGGAUUGCCUCCCUAUAUCAGCCUUGAACCAUCAAACGCCAAGAAAUGACAAGAGAGUAAUUUUAUCAUUAAGAAAUUCCUUUAGAUUUAUAGAAAUGAAAAGAAAUUUGGCAAAUCAAGUUUUUUUUUUUUUUUUUUUUUUUUGUUCAUACGAGCGGUAGGUCUCGGGUUCGAGACUUGGGAGCAGCCUCUUCAUAAAUGGGGGUAAGGCUAGCCGACAUUCACCUCUCCUAGACCCUGCGUAAAGCGGGAGCCUUGUGCACUGGGUACGACCUUACGAGGUCAAAUCCAUUUGCCCUGCAUGCAUUUGAUAUCCUAUUUGUUGUAUCUUGUUAUGCUGUGACGUAUUUGGUUAAUGAGUGCGAAGCCUUUUGUCUUUCUUAUGCCUUCUGCAUUUGUUCUUUAAUUGAUGUAACUUAACCAGUUAAAGAGUAUGAGGCAUAUGACUCAUGAGUCUUUCAAAUAAAAAUGAAUGAGAGUACAGUUAUAUAGGAAGGGGGCUUAGUUAAGAGGUGGUUGUAAAGACUUCCAUUGGGAAGAUAAUCUCUUUGGCCUUUUUCCGUUCGUGUUCGAUUUGACAUUGAUGCCACUAUGUGAGCCUUUAAUGUGGUGGCUAUAGGUUUGAAUUAAGGUCCUUGGAAUGAUAUUUCAAGCGAAGUUAGUUAUUUUCUACAUGAUCUUUGGUUACUUGUGGGAAUGGGGGAAGAAUUGGUUCUUAGGGGGAUGACUAGGUUGAGUACCUUCCUUUUGGCUUUCUGUAUCUACGUUUAGUUGGUUAUAAUUUGUCAUUGAUGUGCCAAUUAACAAUCUCUGCUCUCCUACAUUCCAAACUUCCAAUGAGCCGGAAUUUCAAUUUCCGGAGAAAUUUGAAUGAUUUUCUCUCCUUUUGUUCCGUAGUUUGAAUAAUGUUCCAGAACUGUUGAGUAGAUAACAAGCUGGUAUAGGACUUGUGUACCUUUAAUGGAUUACUUGUUCUCUGUUGUCCUAAUUUCACCUCAUUCUAGUAGUGUUGUUCUGUUUAUUAUCGAAGAAAAGAAAAGAAUAAAAGAAUCAAGUUGAAAGCAUAUUUUUAAGCUGAUACACGUGAGCCCAAUAGCCAAGCUUGUAAAAGAAUUCCUAUCUGAAAUUCUGUCUGCAUCAAUGUGUGCAUGUUAGGGAACCGCAAUGUGCAUCAAUGCAUGCAUGCAUGGUACUGAACAUUGUUUUCUGCACCUGAAUGUCGCUUCUCAAGGCUAGUUAAUCUACUCUAUUUACUCAGUUAUUGAGGUCUCUGAAAUGAAACUUGGUGUUGUAAAUGUCGAUUACGGUGGGAGGGUCAAUUUUUACAUUAUUUUACUGGUUCAGGUGCUAGAAGUGAUGAAAAAAAUUAUUACAUCAGUAUCAUACUCUGAAAAGUUGGAUGAAGUCAUCCUGGAUAGGUUACUGUCUGAUUCGUCCAUCCAUAGUAAACUACCCAAGCACUGGAGGUGGGUUAUGUUAUGUAUCUUUUAAUCUUAUUUGGUAAUGACCUGCUGUUGUUUUUGUUCUAAUCACUAAUUUGAGAGCAUUUUUCUGCAGAGACUUUAUUUCAGCCGGCUCAUUGAUCUAACAGAGAUUGAAGGUCUACAGAUGGCUAUAUGUUCCGUUUUAGAUAUCCUUUUCAUCAUGCUCUCUAAAUUUUCUAAGGUAUUUGGAAAUAAGCUUGUUGAAUACACAUUUUGAUUGCAUGCUAUGUUUGAAAGACUUUUAAAGUUGCACAUGUUACAAUUUUUUGGGAUUAUAUUAGAUGAUGCGCAGAUGUGUUCUGUUUCUGUUCAAAAGUGAGUUUUCUUGAUGUACGGUACAAGUUUAAAAAAUAAACCAACCCUCUAGCUUGCUUUAAAAAGUAAAUGAGCAAUGAACGGUAUAACGAAAUGUUGUGUGUUCUUUUACCUAUUUUAUGGAGUAUUCUGUGCUUUUGCCAACUAUAUGCAUCUGUGAUGGAUAUCUUUCUUUAUUUGAAAUAUGAUGGUUGCAUUUUUAUUUUGUACUGUAGGUCCAUAGUUGAUGUUCAGUUAUGUUUAUUUUCAGGAUAUAUCUUCCAGUCCUCCAUUUUUUCAUCAAGCAGUUUUCUCAUCAGCUAGCAGACCAAUUCCUAUUGUUGCAGCGCUUGUGUCCUUGAUAUCUUACUUUCGCAAUCCUGUAUGGCCUUUCUCCAUACUCAAUUGUUAUUGAUUACAUUCUCUUCAUUGCGUUUGUAAAUACUAUAGUUAUAUGGUUCUUCCAUUUCGGUAACUGUGUAUUUACCUGUACAUUAUCAAAUUAUAACGUUGUUUUUUCUUUUUGUUAUUUCUGCUGGAAGAGUUCCUCAUUUACUUGUCUCCAUAUCUAUGUGAUUGUUGCUAUGUAGGAGUUGCAUGUCAAUUUGUUUCUGUUUUAUAUACUUUGUAGAACACAUGGAUUCAUAGGAAACUUGUACUUGUAUUCAGUGGUUUGUUACUCAGACCGUUGGGCAUGAUAGGCGUAAUGCUAAUCUUUUUUACCUUCAAACCAGAAUGCCCUACUUGAUUGUAAUGGCUUUGUGCACAUCUUAUUUGCAUUUAAUUAUGAAAAGGUUGGGCAGACUAUAAAUAUGGGGGAAUGUGUCCUUGUUGACUUGACCUUAAUUGUUUGCUUUGCUUGGUGGUAGGUGGGAUAAUAAUCUCAUAAUUGUUGAGCAUCUUUAUUAAUAUUCUCAAGUUCUCAAUGCAGGGAAUACAAGUUGGUGCUGCUAGGGUUUUAUCACUGUUCUUGAUGAUGGCUGAUUUUUUGGUCGGAUCGGAUUGGAAACAAGCAUUCCAAUCCACUCCAAAAGGGGUUGGAAUCAAAUAUUAGUUCCAAUUUCGGAUUUUGGAUUAUGAGAAUUUAUCAGAAAUUUCAAAAUUGAUUUUAUCUCGGAAUUUUUGGAAUAUAAUUCGUAUCUCUUGCAUUUUGCAAGACUUUGAAAAUUUUCAAACUUUUAUGUAUCCACCAUUCAAUAUUUUUUCUGAAUUUUUGCAAUAUUUGUAGGCCGCUGCAUGUGUGUUAUGAGAUAAAAUCAUAUUAGAUAAAAUAAGUUCUAGUCUUAUUUUUUAUUUUUCUACGAAUCUAUUAAUUUUAACUUGUGAAUUAUGUCUCUGGUUUUGUUUUCACUUUGGUUGGCUGUUUAUCACUUCUUUUUUCAUCUUCAUACAUUCUGUGAAUUUGUUGGUUAUGUUUUAUGAGUUGAAGCUUUUGGUUUUCCUCUUAAGUUCACUGCUCUAGGAAAUAGUCAUUUUUUGUAUAAGAAAGUUUCUCAUUAUUGUGUUCAAUCUGCUUCAUGACAUACGUUAGUACUAACCUAUUAUCUACACUAAGGGGUGGGGGAGUGGCUUUGGCGAGAAUCGAAAAUAAGACCUCUCACUUACAAGUGAAGAGUAAUACCACUGGACCCUAUUGCAAUAAUGUGGUUCAAAUUCGCCUUUGGCGAGAAUCGAAAAUAAGACCUCUCACUUACAAGUGAAGAGUAAUACCACUGGACCCUAAUACUAAGUGGCUUAUAGCUUCUUAAUUUUUAGAAUGCAAUAUUCAUACCUCUGUAACUUCACAGGUUGCUGCAAGUGUAAUCACUGCUUGUGUGAUGGUGAACUUAUCAAUUGGUGAUGCAGGAAGUUUGUCUAUGUCAUUAGUUGAGAAGUCCAGUAACACGUCAAAUAAGGUUCAUUCCCUUCUUGAUUGUGUUACUUAAUUUGUAAUCCAAGAUGAUUGUAUGCUGAGAAACCCAUAAAAGGUUCAAUUUAGUUUCUAAUUUCAUAGAUUCUCGUAUUUAGUACUUUCCGUUUUAGUAAAAUUGAGAUUGUAUAAUUUGCAUCAUAUCUGAUUGCUGUUAUCUUUCUUCUCACCCUUCUUCAUUGGCAGCUGAGAAGUCAUCCUGCUUUUUCUGAAUUGUUAGCUCAAUACUCACAGCAUGGUUACAGGUAACAUGUGUGCUAUUGUUAAUUUCAGUUGGAAUUUCUAGGUAAGGCUAGCCGACAUUCACCUCUCCCAGACCCUGCGUAAAGCGGGAGCCUUGUGCACUGGGUACGACCUUUAGCACUGCCACUUUUGAACAAGGCAUUUGUAAGUCAACAAACUGCCUCUAUACAGUACCUCUCCUGAGGAUUCUGGAUAUUUAUAACUGCCCCUUCCGGUCAAUGUGUUCUUAUAGUGUGAGCUGUGUUAUGUGUGAUACUUUAGUUUUGAGUUCUUGUCUUUGACAGACCGUCUAAGUGGUGACAUGCAGUCAUAAGUUUGGGAGGUUAAAUUUGCAUAGGCUUUGAAUACCAUAUUUGGUUUUUUUUAUUUGUUUCACAUAUACUCUUUUAAUAACCUGUGUUAUAUCUCAAAAGAAUGCUGAGACUACCACGUGGAUAAUGGAAUCAAUGAAUAAUGCGUGUUAUGUAUGUGCCCAUGUAUGAAUAAUAUAUAAUCUUAUUUUCAGUGCAGGGAAAGAGCCAAACUAUUUGAUACUUAGUGAUCUCUACUAUCAUCUGCAAGGACAGCUUGAAGGCCGUGAAAUCCGUGCUGGACCAUUCAAAGAACUCUCUCAGUUCCUAAUUGAAUCAAAUAUUUUUCAGACUUACCAACACAAGGAUGAUGGUGAUCUUUUUGUGACUGGAAGAGAUACAUACUUAUUUGAUCUUAAAUUUGUACGUGCUGAUUUGGGGUUAGAUCUUUGGGAUUAUUCAAAAUGGAAAGAAUCGAAGGCAACUGCAGAAACAAUGUUGCAUCACAUGAAAGCUGCAAACUCAAUGGCGAUGCUUACAAGUUCGAAGCUUUCUGCACUGAGAGCAUUAAGAAGUGUCUUAACUGUAUACGGGGAGGAUGUGAGUACUCUCUUAGAGUUUCUAAUUGCUUUUAGAUGCUUUCUUUAGAAAUUUGAUAUGCAGUGUCCUUCCGUUGAGGAAUCCCUCAACGAAAGGGGUCUGAUAAUAUCUGUAACUGCAUUUUAGGGUUGGAUAUUUUAAGGAUCAUGCAGAUGUAAGAGAUGUAAUGUUUUUGAAACAUGUUACAUCUGAUGCUAAACAAAUGUUAAUGCCUAAUAUUCUACAGGAACCUGUAAAGUUUGUGUAAAAACUAUUUCAAACAUUGAUUUCUCAUUUCAAAUCUUUUGGAAGUUGAACAGCAUCAGUGAUAUUGCAGUCUGUGAACUCUAUGCUAUACCUAUGUCAUGUCUACUUAAGUACUGAAGAAUGCAAUCAAAUAACUAGGACCUACGGCUAGAGUAGUAACUCUCAUGAUAUAAGAUGUGUCAAGUUUGUAUUGUUCAAAAUCGGGGUAUGAAUAGUAAAAGCAUGUAAUGGUAACUGGAGAAUGUGGAUUUCAUUUCGAAAUACUCUUUUAAUUAAUUUCUAUUCAUCUUACAAUGAACGGUUGUGAAGUCAUUGCAUUCCCGUUAAAUCAAGAAUAUGACAAGAAAAACCGAGAUGAGGAGGUUUUGAGUGUUUUGACAUAUAGUGAAGGCUACUUUGUCUUCGAUAAGACACAUGAUCUAAGCCUCCUGCUUUCAACAGUAGCAUCUAGAUGCUGAUCAGCACGGUAUUUUUGUCCUUGUGUUAAAGGUCGAUGAAUUUUUUUGUUGUGACAGUUUAGUUCUUGUCACUUUGUUGCUUUUACAAAUAUCUUAUUUCUUUUGAAAUUAAGUCAUGUGUACCUGCUACUGCAGUCACUGGAGACAAAGAGUACAGUGAGAUGGAUCCCUGAUCAACUUGUUUUCUCAUGCAUAGAUCACAUAUGCCUGAGCUUCCACAACACAGUAGAAUCAUGAGCUCCAGUACCCAGCGCUUCUGAAGAUAUCUUUCACUUCCUUGCGGCUCAAGCAGAAUUGCUUCUCUAUCUUAUGAUGUAUGCACAUAAAAGCCUGCCUUUAUCUGUUUGCAUUCUCGUACUAAAAACACAAGGUUCUGGCCUUUAAGUGUUGAGUGAUUUCAGAGCAUUAGUUACCGGGCCAUCAGUUAUGGGGGUUGACACUGUAGUAAAGCUCUUACUUAUGUUGCUUCUCUCAGCAGUGGAGUUUGGUUGUCAUAAGUUGCAUUUGGUUGGGGCAAGAGAUAUAAUUUCUGUCGAAGACAUGGCUAAAAUAUCUAAUGUGAGUCUUGGUCUACUACCAGUUCUCUGUAACUGUAUUGCUACUGCUGAGCACGGAACCCUCUCCCUAACUACUAUGGACUUGAUACUUCGAAAUUUCUUGACUCCCAACACUUGGUUCCCCAUUAUACAGAACCACCUCCAGCUUCAGCGUGUGAUUCUGAAGCUUCAAAAUAAAAAUUCUCUUGAGUCUGUGCCUGUUAUAAUGAAUUUCUUUUUUACUCUUGCCCGUUUUAGGCGGGGUGCAGAAAUGCUUAUUAAUUAUGGCUUUCUCUCGUCUCUGAGAUUCUUGUUCGCUGAAUACUUGGAUGGUACGUCUUCUUCCGAAACUAUUGAUAACAGAAAUUCCAACUCAUCAUCUAAGAAACUGGAAAAGCCUCCGCAAAUAUGGGGACUUGGUUUGGCAGUCAUCACAGCUAUGGUUGAGUCAUUAGGAGACAGUGCUGCUUGUUCCAAUCUUGUGGAGAAAGUACUACCUUACUUCUUUUCAGAGAAAGACUAUAUGAUUUCUUACUAUCUAAGUGCUCCGGAUUUCCCAUCUGAUGAUCAUGACAAGAAAAGACCUCGGGCUCAGCAGAGACAAACUUCUCUUACUGAUCUUAAAGAAACUGAGCACACUCUCAUGCUAAUGUGUGUGCUAGCAAAACAUUGGAAUUCCUGGGUUAAGUCUAUGAAAGAAUUGGAUUCCCAGUUGAGAGAGAAAAGUAUCCAUCUUUUAGCCUUUAUCAGUAGGGGAACUCAAAGGCUUGGAGAACCUUCUAGUCUUAGUGCCCCUCUGUUAUGUCCUUCUGUCCUUAAAGAGGAAUUUGAUGGCUGCAAGAAACCCUCAUUUAUCAACAGUAAAAGUGGAUGGUUUGCCCUUUCUGCCCUCAGUUGUGUUUCAAAACCAAAAUUCUCCACCAUCCCUACCACAUCUACUGCGCUGGUUAUUAAAACUCAAGCAACUGUAAAUGGCAGUCACAUUUCUCAGUCAUAUUUCUCUGACUCUAUUGCCCUACAGAUCUACAGAAUAACUUUUCUCCUUUUGAAGUUCCUGAGCUUACAAUGCCUGAGAUCUUACAUGGCUUACAGGUACGACGAUAAAUUUUGUUCUUUGAUUAGCUUUUUGUUUCGUUAUGCAAAACUAUAUCUGGUCUACAAUAACUUGUAAGUUUUGAGGUGGCGUUCCUUUUUAAUGUGGAUGUGUUAUUAUCUCUAAUGUAGGACCAAGCAAUUACAAUUGUUACAGAGCUGUGUGAGGUUAACAGAUCAAACGAGAUUCAAAUUGAAGUCCAGAGUAUCUGUUGCUUACUGCUACAAAUAAUGGAGAUGGCCUUGCACUUGGAACUCUGUGUUCUGCAGAUAUGUGGCAUAAGACCCGUACUAGGUCGUGUGGAGAGGAUUUUUCAAAGGAAGUUAAACAUUUAGUAAAAGGUAAAAACUCCCAUUUAUCUGCAUGUCUUCCAGUUGCAUUGAAUACGUAGUUUGUUACCAAGCUACUGGACGUUCAGUGAGUACUUGAUGUUUUCGUGUAAUGUGUUUUGUAGCGACGGAGAGACAUGCUUUCCUCAAACCAUCUGUGAAGUCCUUGAAACAGAUAUUAUCGGUCGUUUAUCCCGGAUUAUUACAGGCUGACGAGUUUCUGUGAGAUAGUCUUGUGCAUAUAGGCGAAAACCGAAAACUGUAAGGCUUUGCAAUGUAAUGUAAAAACUCUGCAUCACUUAAAAGGAAGGCUCAGAUGAACGGCUUUAGAAAUAUUCCACAUUUUGGUUAUAAAAUUGUGGGGUUUCGUUGAGCCAUUGUUUUUUGUAUUAUAUAUUGAAUUGCUUUUAAAAAAGAUGUGUUGUAUGAUUGAUGGGCAAGAUUUUGUUGAAUCCGUCGGCCAUUUUUCAUUGUCGCGUGCGAAUUUCCUGCCCUUCCCUUUUCCAAAGUUGAUUCCGUCAAGAGUCUCUGUCUCUGUCUCUCGUGUAAUUUACACGAAUUUUGAUUUGAAGGGAAGAUCCAUGGGACGGAGUAAUGAGAUUCAGGCCCUUUAAACAAAGACAUCUUUUUCUUUCUUUUUUUUGGAAACAUAGGGAAUAAUUGUAGAAUUCAUUUCGUAUUGAAUUUUAAUGAUUCGAUUUGUCUAUUUUGUAAGUCUUGAUUCAUAGAUCAUUUUUGCAAAAUUUCAAUUCAAUUCGAUACCAUUUGUCUAUUUACUAGUCAUAAUGAAAUUUCAAUGUUUUUAAGAGCAUGGUGUGUUGUCAAUUUCUUUGAACUAAAUUAGAUGCCUAAGAUAUUUUUGAUUUGGUUAAUAUUUUACAAGUUAAUCUAUGAAAUGCAACUUGAAAAAUAAAUAAUUCGAAUUGUUAAAAUUCGACGUGAUGUGAACCCCACGACUAUUUUUCAUUUUUGAGAAAAAUGGAAGUCUUUUCCCUUAAAGACUCUGAUUGUUACUACAAUACUCAGCGAUGUGCCUCACAUUGUUUUAUUGUCCUUGCUGUGCCACUUCUAUAUUUGUGUAAAUACAGUGAAAGAAUUUUAUAUACAUUUGUUUAUUUUUUGCACAUCUGGUUUCAAUUCUGACUUUUGAUUUCGCUACCAAUAACUGAAAAAAAAAAUGCAAGAGGUGAAAAUCAAUUUACAAAAAUAAUAUCCCUAAAUACGCAAGUUUAGAAAGUUGGAAGGACAAAACUUGAGAUUCAUAGGAAAAAUCUAAAAGAAAAACUGAGACAACUGUCCAAGUAACGGUGACCACGUAAUGAAUGCUACGAGAACAUAUGUCCAAGCACUUAACAAAAAUUGCCAUUUUGAAAUAAAUUGAAGAUAAUCCCCUAACUUUACUAAACAAAGUGCCCUCCUCUUUUUAGGAACAAUGACCCUUUAACCAUAUUACUUCUAUUCAUUUCUGAUUUAUAUUUUCCAUUAUGAAGAAAAUUAACAAACUAAUCUUAAUCUGCUUGUUGGUUGGAUCAAUCCGAAAGAGAUCUUUUAAUAUGUCUAAAAUACGAUGCGGUAUAUCAUAUUUUAUUAUAUAAGUAGGGGAUUUUUUUUUUCUUUCAAGUAUUCAUCUUUUCGUAUAAUAACAUAUGAUAUAUGUGUAUGUUUCGAGCACUUUGAAAAUCUCACAUCAACCCACAUUUCCAUGGUUGGUGGAUCCAUGCUCCACGGGUAUAAUCAUAUUUAAUAAAUAUAAAAAUAUAAAAAUUGGUUCCCCUGAUCCGUAAUUUCAGAUCUUUUGGCUUCAUAUAUUUGUUGACAUCUGAAUAACCUCGUGAAAUCUCCACUGUUGGAUCUGCUCCAGAGAAGGUCAGUAAUUCAGUCAAAUUGUCAGUGUUAACUUUUUAUUAAAUCCACACCCGAAACCCCCGAAUAGCAUCUUAUCUUCUCCUCAUGUGUCGACGAACCCUUACCCGAAAGCAAAAAUGGUUUCAAAAGUAAAGAAGAUAUGUCUUUCACCAAGAUCAUCAAAUCAAAUGAUUUGAACUUUUAAAAUUUCAUUCAACUAUAAAAUAUUAUUAUAGUUUUGAAAAGUUUAAAACAAGUGGAUCGUUGGAUAAAAUUUUAAAUGUCUGAAUCACUUAAUCAUAUGAUAUUGGUAAAAAAAUCCGACAAUGAUAUAUUCUCUCAAAAGUGAAAUUAUGAGAGAGUCGCUUUAUAAUAUUAUAUUUUAUAACGAUGGAACGAAAAUUACUGUAAAAAUCAGACUCAAAAGUGAGACUCUAACUCAAUAAUAACUCAUGUUAUGACACAGUAUCUUCUGUUAUUGAAAUGAAAAUUAACGUUAAAUUAUAAGAUGACAGUCGACCUCAUCCGAAAAAUAACAAAAGCAUAUACCCAGCAUACCCACUUCAUUCAACCUCGGAUCCCAAAAUACACCACGGUUAAAAACCCGACCCAACCACGGUUAGCCCGUCCCUCUUCGGAUUCGCUCCACGUUUUUCAAUCCAACGGAUGAAAAAAACUUGACCUAGACAUUCCCCGCAGAAACCCUUUUAUAAAGGGAACUUUAACGAAAAGCACCCGGUACUGUUCACUUUAACGAAAAAUCACAUUUUUACACUAAAAAGUCAAUCUUGGUACUAUUCACUUUACCCUUUAUUUUGUCCUUAUUAUUAAAACUCAAAGUUUUCAAGCCCUUUUCAUUAGUUUUCAUUUUAUAAACCCCCGCGUCUUCGUGAUCUGGUCCACGCAUCACAAACCCCAAUCCCACUCUCUUCAUUCUCUCCUCUAGAACGAACCGCAAUGGCAAACCCUAAGGUUUUCUUUGACAUGACGAUCGGAGGCCAGCCGGCCGGCCGAAUCGUGAUGGAGCUCUUCGCCGACACCACCCCCGCACCGCCGAGAACUUCAGGGCUCUCUGCACCGGCGAGAAGGGCAACGGCCGCUCCGGCAAGCCCCUCCACUACAAGGGAUCCGCCUUCCACCGCGUGAUCCCCGGGUUCAUGUGCCAGGGAGGUGACUUCACCGCCGGAAACGGCACCGGAGGAGAGUCGAUCUACGGCGCCAAGUUCGCCGACGAGAACUUCAAGAAGAAGCACACCGGACCUGGAAUAUUAUCCAUGGCCAACGCGGGUCCCGGAACCAACGGAUCUCAGUUCUUCAUCUGCACAGCCAAGACCGAGUGGCUCGACGGCAAGCACGUGGUGUUCGGGCAGGUGAUCGAGGGUCUGGAUGUGGUGAAGAACAUCGAGAAGGUCGGAUCUGGACAGGGAAGGACCUCGAAGCCGGUGGUUAUCGCCGACUGCGGCCAGCUAUCCUAGACGCCGCCGCUUGGGCUGCUGAUGUAUGGACGAUGGAAACGUCGUCGUGUUAUGUGAUGAGUGUUUAAAUUUGGGUAUUAAAGUAGGUGGGGUCAUAUUAGGGUUUGGGUUAUGGACCUUAUUAUGGUUUUAAUUUUCUAAUUUUCCGUAUAAUGCUCUUCCGGUGGUUUCUUUGCUGAGACUCUCAGAUUCUUUAUUCUGUAUUGAAAUGAGCUAUUAUCGUUAAAUAAAAUAGGUCUUGUUCUCAAUUAUCAUUUAAUUAUUAUUUGUUAAUUGUUGAUCCACUUGUGUUUAUGAUAAUUUGGGUGGCUAGAAAUUUAGUCAAAUUUAUGAAUUUAUGAUUUUGGAUUGUUGUGCUUGUUGGCAUCUUCAAUAACUUGUAUUGGAAAAUGAAAUGUUGGAGGAGAGCUUGUUUUUGUGGUUACAAUCUAGUAAUGUAUCUUAUUGUAUUACUUGUUUAUGAACUUGUAAAUUCUUUUUUAAAGAAUUUUAAUGAAAAGUUUUGGGUACUGUUUAUUUUGACUAAAAUUUAUAUUUUUACACUAAAACUAAAAUGUACUAUUUAAUUUAUUUUUUAUUUUAUCAUUAUCGUUAAAAUUUAAAAAAUUUCUAAUAAUUUUUAUUAGUGUUCCUAUUCUUUUAUUUUAUUGCAUAAAAGAAGGGAGAGAUAGGAGGGGUGGGUUUUGGAUGAUGUCAGAUAUUUGAUUAUUUGCAGGCAGAUGAUGAUUUAGUCAUUUUCUCAACUUGUGAUAAAUUUCUUAUGUCAACGUUAGGGGUGGUCCAUCCAAUGCAUACCAUCAAUAUUUAUUUCAGAUAUAUUAAUAUUCUCUUUUGGAGCAAGAAAAGUUGGAUUUGAAUUAUGAACAGUGGUUUUGGUGAAGUCCUUUUGUAAUUCUAUAGCCACCACGGCUUGCGGUGUUUGUGUAUACUUUGGUUGCCACACGUGUUACUUUUUGUUUGGAGAUUUGGUUGCCUUGCAUGCUACGGUCACUCACGUAUGUGUUAUAUAUACAGUCUUUGUUAUCUCUCAACAAAAAAAAAAAAACACAAAACAAGAAUCCUGCUACAAAUUUAGCGGAGAAGGACACUCCAAAAUCCAAUGGGGAAGGAACAACUGAGCAUCUAAAUUUUCACACAAUCCAAACACCAUCACAGAAAGUUGGAGAGUAAACUUAAAUUAUUCAAACACCAAUCCAAAACCCCCAGUCCACCUUUUGGCGCAUCCGCCCGCCGCUGUCAUCCAACUGAUCACCUGAUUUACUGUAACCCUCCCGUUGUAGUGGAUGCAUGCAGUAGAUGUGCUGUGCCCAUAAAUCAACUGCCCAGCCUGUGCACAAGCUUGUGCAUGUGACACCUGUCCUCUCCCUCAUAACUGGAGUUUAACAGCGUUAAAAUUUAAAUAAAUUGAAAGACCGAACAAAGCUACUGCUACCGUCGCCAAAGCAGAUCCAACGCAACAUGGCUUCCAAACCCAUUUGCCGCCGGCGAGAUCCACUUCGGCGAAGGCGAGUUGAAGUUUUCUUAUUUUUCCUUAAUUUUAUUUUUUUUAUUUUUUCCGUCAAGUUAACAGAGUUAACAUGUUGUUAAGUCCUAGGACACUUGUCAACAUCUGGAUGUAUGCAAAGGGACUUUGGGCACAGCAGAUUUGCACUCGUUGACGUGGCGCCUGCCAGAAGAGGAAGGACACGCUCGUCAUUUCAGUAUGGCCCCGCAACAAGUCACAGGCCAAGAGAAUCUGCUCCCGCAACAUGGGGGUAACCAGCGCGCCAAGCAGGGAAUCAUUACCUCGUUCCGGACGGCCACCGGAAACUUCCCACAAGACGACGGAACUUGCGAGUCGCAAGCAAGAGAGGAUUUCAACCUUAGCAAAUAAAUCAGGAAUAAAUAUUUAGAAUUAGUAGAAAUUACAAAUCGCAAUCAGAUCGCUCGCUCUCUCUUUCUCUCUACUCUUUGAGAGCUUUGGAGGCGUAUUGCAAUUUAUAGAGAAAUAGAGGAGAGAGAAACCCUAGAGAGAGAGAGAGAGAGAGAGAGAGAGAGAGAGAGAGACCGAUGGGGGUUUCGGAGAAUACAAAGGGGUUGAUACUGGCGAUGGCGUCGAGCGCCUUCAUCGGGGCGAGCUUCAUCCUGAAGAAGAAGGGUCUCAAGAGCGCCGCCGCCGCCGGCACCCGAGCAGGUAAAUUUUAGUUGAAUGUAAUCCCCAAAAUAUUGUGAACUGGAGUAAAUUACAAAUAUUUAAUCAAAUGAUUCAAUUUUAAAAAAUUCUUCUAAUUGAUGGGUUCCAGAAACCCAACUGGCUGAUUGAUUUGUUAUGGUGAUCUCAUUGAUUUGUUUGAUUGAUAAUUUGUCUAAUUUGAGUUGUGUAGGAGUUGGUGGGUAUACAUACUUACUAGAACCUCUCUGGUGGGCUGGCAUGAUCACCAGUAAGUGUAGCUCUAACACUUUCCCUGCAGAAAAUUUGACUGAAUUCCUAAGUAGAUAUGAGUUACUGAUAUUCGGUUUUCGAUUUUUCCAACUGGGUAGUGAUUGUUGGGGAAGUUGCCAAUUUCGUGGCUUAUGUAUAUGCUCCGGCGGUUCUUGUAACACCACUUGGUGCACUGAGUAUAAUCGUCAGGUAAAUGCACUUGUAUAACACUCAGUUCAUUUCUGUGCUGAUUAUUGUCUGAAAGUUUGUGUUACCAACUUACGGGUUUGUUGGAUUUGUCCAGUGCUGUUUUGGCUCACUUCUUGUUGAAGGAACGAAUAACGAAAAUGGGUAUUGUGGGAUGUCUUACCUGCAUCGUGGGAUCAGUUGUGAUUGUGAUCCAUGCACCUCGGGAGCAUAGUCUAAAUUCUGUAGAGGAAAUCUGGGUCCUGGCGACCCAAACAGGUUCGUGAAUCAUGACUUCUAUCUCGUCCUUUUCUCUUUCAAUGCUACUUGUCAGAAAACCUUCAUUGGCUUGUUUAACUUGUCGUGUUUUUCCUUUCUACACAGCCUUUCUGAUUUAUGUUGCAGUUACAAUUACCCUAGUGUUAGUUUUGGUCUUGCAUUUUGAACCUCAGUAUGGACAAACGAACAUACUAGUCUAUUUGGGAAUCUGUUCCUUGAUGGGUUCACUUACGGUAACUAUCCUUUUCUUGUUUGCUAAAUACGUAUAGUCAUUUUGUUCUUAUAUGUUCAAAUUGUUAGGUGCUUAGCUUUGUACAUUGUGCUACUUCAGGUUGUAAGCAUAAAGGCAAUUGGAAUUGCUAUAAAGCUGACCCUUGAGGGAGUAAGUCAGAUAGCUUAUCCACAGACAUGGUUUUUUCUGACAGUUGCAAUAAUCUGCGUUGUUACACAGUUAAAUUACCUUAACAAGGUCAGUAUUGAUCUUUUAAUUUUGGCACCUUCCUCCAAGACCAUCGUCACUAGCAUUUAUGUGGUGACUAGCCAUUUUUUUGCUAAAUGUCUGCUCUUCCUGCAAUGCCUAAUUUGUAUUUGCUUUCUUAGAUCCUGUUCAGCCCAUUUGUUUAGCUUUUGACUACAUCGUGUUCCUAGCCUAUAAAGGAGGGGCAAUUGAUGUAUACCACUUUUGCUAUAUAACGUGUCAAUUUACUAUAUAACUUGUCAAUAUAAUAGCAGUAGAUAAAGCAUAGAGUAUUUACGUUCUGAUAAAUUUGGAAAUUUCUCAAAGUCUUUUCAAUUGAAAUUUGAAAGUAAGUUUAAGUUGGUUUACUUAUUGAAAAAUUCAGCUUAUCACAUGCUGCUUGGAUGAUAAUCUUGUUGGUAUUCUCCUUCAGCCAUCUUUUAACUCAGAUCUCUCUAGAAGUUCGGAUUAUAAAUAAUUACGUGCUGAGUCUGGUAUCACUUAUGUUGCCAGCAUCUUUGUUUCAGGCUUUGGAUACAUUCAAUGCUGCAAUUGUUGCCCCAGUAUAUUAUGUGAUGUUCACAACUCUGACCAUAAUUGCUAGUGUAAUAAUGUUCAAGGUAGAUUUCUCGAUCUAUAUACUGGGGUUUCCUUCUGAUGCCUUAGUUUGUUACUUGUUUGUCAUGCAAUUAUGAAGACAUCGGAUUCCGAUUUCACGUUGUUUUCUUUAUUCUAUGCAGGAUUGGUCUGGCCAGAAUGUAAGCAGCAUAGCCUCUGAAAUAUGUGGAUUCAUCACUGUGCUGUCAGGAACCAUCAUACUCCAUGCAACAAGAGAUCAGGAACCACCUGCUCCACAACCACAAGGUAUAUAUAUGGACUUUGUUUCCUUAACCUGUAUUAUCUGGGAUUUGGGGCUCUUUAUUAUACUUAAUUUCGCCUUUAAAUUCAAAUCAAUAUAACAAGUAAAAAUUCUGAUCUAAUAAACAGCAUAAAACAGAUGCUGCAAGAUAUUUGGUUUCCUCAUGAUAGGACAGGAAUAAAAUUUACAAUGUGGUAACAUUCCAUCACCAUUGUAACUACGACUCUGGUUGAGCACCAAAAGAGAAAAAAAUAGUUUGCAUGGUGUGUUUCUUUAUCGGGUUGAACUGUUUCAGGAGUUGGUGUGAUUAACACAUUGGUUUGACUAAGGAUCAUGUUACAGUUACACUUACAGUGGACUAUAAUAUCUACUUUCUUUGCUUGUGAUUGGUACCAGGAAACUCUCUUCACAGUGCUUUUAAAUCUUAGUAUACGGUAAAUCUUUGUAUUGGGUAUUGACUUGAACUUACAGUAAUUCUUCUCUUCAUCGCAGGAACUGUAACAUGGUACAUUAGAGGAGAUUCAGUGAAGAGUUCUGAAGAUGAACGUUUGCUCACUUUACAGAAUUCAGAUUAUCCUGAACCGUGAUACCAAUUAAUCUGCAACAAUCAUCUUGAAGAAUGCAAUCCCAAGCAAUGAAGCUGUGCUGCAACUAUCAUUUUGAUAGGAGUGAGUCUGUGGGCAUCCAGCACAUUGCUAACCAUUUUACCCUUACUCUUCUAAACAAACAUUGCACUCCCAUCCACCGUCCCCAUUCGUCCCCUUCCCUCCAUCCCAUCGCUGGCCUGUUUUAUAAUUUCUUUUCUUUAGCAUGUGUUGGGUGCCAAUAGAACCACCCUUUAAAGAGUGUUUGCAGAUGGGGAGCUCAUGGUUUCUUCUAGGCAGAUAUUGGAGCUAUUAGCAGAUUGCGGAGUUAAUUUUAUGUGCUUCAUCGGCCAGCAGAUGAGGCUCUCAGUGAGGUGUGUUUGUGGCACCCCUCUGAAUGCUAAGUCCUGAAUCCUCCUCCGUCAGGAGUGGGGUUACAGUUCUGUAUCAAUACCAGGGAAUAGAGAGACCUGUGAUACUGGCAAUGUCCAAUCUCUCACGACGGGCUAAUGGCAUCUGUACAUAAUGAUGCUCAGCUUCUCAUUCACUAGUUUCGUUCAUGAUCCUCGUUCAUGUCCGAAUGAGUUUGAUUGUUUCCUCUCUUUCUAGUGUGUAUGUCAUACCGGCAUUGAUAGAUUAUAGAAUAGAGCUAUAGACAGAGUUACGUUUUAACGGGCAAAUACUACAUGGAAUAUGUAAAUCUUGUAUAAACUCUUCAAUUUUGGGUUCUCUUGUCAAUGAGUUUACCUUUUUUCUGAAAGAAAAAAAAGACAUGGAUGGCUUCACUCACAAAUGUGAAAUGUCCAUUUACAUGUAUCCGAAUCUGCAGAUUGUGCAAUAUUUUACAAUUUGAAUGUAAUCUUUCCAAAUUGCUUUAGCCCAUAAGAAAUGAUAAAUAGUGGGUUCUAGGUAAAAAGGGAAAAAGGGAAAAAGGGGAAUCACUCAUUUCAAUUUCAAUCCUAUGGCUAUCGACACAUAUGGGAAAAUUGGAAUAAGUUUAUAAUGGAAUGCAUUCAAUUCAACAAAAAAGACCUUAGAGGUAAGGUAACGCUCUUGACCAGUUAAAUUAUAAGUUAUUUUUGGGUAUAAGUGUGUCAAUGCAUAUUUUAAACUCCUUCGAAGUUAAAAUUCUAUUUAUUUUUCUUAGAUAAUGACUUUAGCACCUCCGUUCUAAAAUACCCCAUGUUGAACCAACUAGCCUUUUGUUUCGUGAUAGAGGAAACAGAGAUUGUAAGGUAUCCCCCUCAUUACAAAAAAAUAUACUCCCAAUUCAAAUUUGAAAAUGUGUAGAAAUUACACUAAAUUUGUUAGCCCUUUUUUGGUAUAUGAGAAAAUCUAAGUUGUAAUCAGGUCCCCUUUUCGUUUGUAUACGGGGAAUUCUAAGUUUUAAUCGUGUUAUAUGUAAUGAGAGAUGCUAAUAAAUUAUUAGUCUUUAACUUGAAUACGACAAAUUUGAAGUUGUAAUCGGAUCACAUGUUUGUUUGUAUGCAAAAAAUUCUAGACUUUAAUCAUGUCAUAUGUAAUGAGAGAUACUAAUAAACUAUUAGUUUUUAACUUGUAUACAAUAAAUUUGAGGUUGUAAUCGAAUCAUAUGUUUGCUUGUAUGCGAAAACUUUAAAAGUGCAUUUCAAGUACCAUUUUACUUGCAUAAGAGAAAUUUCGCCUCGCACCAUAAAGAUACUAAUAAGGAAAAAUUGAAGGGAAAUUUUAUUUAAACCCAUCUAACCUAUUUUUACACCCAACUUACUAUUUGCACUCAUUUGAUUUUUAAUUAAACUAUUAAUAUCUCUUUAAACCCAAAUUUAAUACCUAAUAUACCCCCAUAAACUCAAUUCAAUAUGUAAAUUUAUUUUUACACCCAUUUGAUUUUUAGAAGCUAAAUUUGAUGGGAGGAAGCUCCUCCUGUAAUCUGAACUUGAUUUCUUUGGUCUGGCCCCGUACUUAUUCCAUUCCACAGGACACUCCCACCAGGACUUUGCAUGGGGCCGCCAUGCUCCUUGACAGGCCAUCCAAACAAAUUAGGAUUAGUAGAUGCUUUUGUGGCAAGUGAUUCCAUGCACCUUUUUGGAAUGUUGAGUUCUUCAGCAUAAAGGAGCAUGUCAUCACAAGUUUGAAGUGUCUUUAGAGAGUCCUUGCAAUUUCGAAGAACUACUUGAUUGAGAAAGGCUUCACUUUGUGUGAUUAAGUUGUCCUCCCCGUACUCUUCAGUCAUUUCUAGAUGUUGGAAUUGACAAUGAGAGAAACUGGAAACAACCAAGGUUGAGCAGAAUCGUAUAGUUUUCUAAUUGCAAUUAAGGCUAAUGAAAUUGCUGAUCGUAUCGAAGUCAGAUCAUGGUUUUCUAAUUGCAACUCAUGGUUUGCCAAUUCAUAAAUUGAAAUCAAACCAACAAAAAAUUCAUAAAUUGAGUCAUACCUUGGUUGGAGGAUUCAAAACUUCAAAAUCACCAUCCAUCAAUAAAAAAAACUUAUUUUUCUCUAUGACAGCUAUUAGGGUUUUAGCUAGAAUGAACCUAGGAUAAAAAAAGAGUGAUCGUAGGGUUUAAUUAUAGUGUUUGGGUUUAUUGAUAAAUUUGAGUUUUAUUAUUAAUUUCAUUUUGUACUUAAUAGUAAUUAUGCAAUAGGGUAAAAUAUAAAAUUAACAUUUAAAAUUUAAGUUGGGUGUAAAAAAAGAUUAAAUGGGUUUAAAUAAAAUUUUCCAAAAUUGAAAAUAAAUAAGUCAGAUUUCCUCUCCAUAUCAAAAAACCAAAAAAAUAAAAAUAAAAAUAAAAAACCUCGCAGAUUCCCCAUCGGAUUCGGAAAAUCAUAAACUCCAACCAACCGUCGGAUCAGAUCCCCAUCCCUUACCCUAUAUAUUCGUAGAACCCCUUCACCGCUUCUUCACAACGCAACCCCGAAAACCGACUUCGCGCAAGAGAAUAAAAAGGAGCCACCUUUUCAGUUUUCCACAGAGCUACCACUGCAACCAUGGCGGCCACCGUGUCUCCGUGGGCCAAGCCCGGCGCCUGGGCCCUUGCCGCCGAGGAGCAGGAAGCCGAACUCGAACAGCAAGCCAAAGAGGAACAACAACGCGCCGUUGAGCCGCCCUCCGCUGACUUCCCAUCUCUCUCUGCAGCCGCCGCCACCAAGCCCAAGAAGAAGAAACAGACCAUCUCCCUCGCCGAGUUCAAUAACUUUGGGGCGCCCAAACCCAAGCCCGCGGAGCAUCCCUUGGGCCUGACGCACGAGGACCGGAUGCAUUUGCCGACCGGUCCGCGCGAGCGAACAGCCGAGGAGCUUGAUCGGAAUCGGCUCGGCGGCGGGUUCAGGUCUUAUGGGGGCGAUCGGGGAAACAGCAGGUAUUCCAAUGGUGACGAGUCUUCGGAGUCGAAGUGGGGUUCGGGUCAGAGGAAGGAAGGUGGGUUUGGGAGGGAAUCGAACCGAGAUGAGCCUUCGAGAGCGGAUGAGGUUGAUGAUUGGGGCGCCAAGAAGAAAUCGAUGCCGGGAAAUGGGUUUGAGAGGAGGGAGAGAGGAGGACCUGGAGGUAGUUUUUUUGGUGGGUCACAGUCGAAGGCUGAUGAAUCCAACAGCUGGGUGUCGAAUAAGAGCUCCAUGCCGUCGGAGGGACGGAGAUUUGGCGGUGGUGAUGGCGGGUUUGAUCGGGAGAGGAAAGUAGGGUUCCCAUCUAAUGGUGGUGCUGAUUCUGAUAAUUGGGGGAGGAAGAAGGAGGAGACUAAUGGUGGGUCUGGAUUUGAUAGAGAGAGAAAAGUUGGGUUCGUUUCCAAUGGCGGUGGUGCGGAUUCUGAUGUUUGGGGGAAGAAGAGGGAGGAGAGUAAUGGUGGUCUUAGUGAGAGUACUGCGAGGCCCAGGCUUAAUUUGCAGCCGAGGAGUUUGCCUGUGAGCAACGAGACCUCACCAGGUUCGACCACUGCACCGAAGCCCAAGGGCUCUAACCCAUUUGGUGCUGCAAGACCGAGGGAAGAGGUGUUGGCGGAGAAAGGGAAGGACUGGAAGGAGAUUGAUGAGCAGCUUGAGUCUGCUAAGAUUAAGGAGGUGACGGAGAUAGCGAACAGCGAGUCGUUUGGGAGGAGGAGUUUUGGGAUGGGAAAUGGGCGUGCUGGUGAUCGAACUGAGAGAGCUUGGAGGAAGCCUGAUUCGGCUGAUUCACGGCCCCAGAGGUUGGUUAUUUCAGUAAUAUGAUUGAUUGGGAAUCUGAAAUACUCGAAGUUAGGAUGCUUAGUUGUAAAGUUUGAUCCUUUCUAUACUUUUGCAUGUUGAUUUUGAUUGUAUGUUGCUGUUAGAAUUGUUUGAAUGAGCUUUUGGGAAAUGUUGCUUGAUGGAACAGUGACUUCGCAUAUUGGUUUUAUGUUGUGUGUGUGUGUGUGUCAUUCAGUUUUUCUUUGUAUAAAGGGAUAGUUUUGGUCAACUCUCUAAACCUUGUGGGGGAGAUGUAGGGCAUUCAUUUACACAUCUAUGUCCAAGGGAAGCUUAUUGAACUCUUGACAAUGUUUCUGUAUUUCAAAAGAAUUUUACUCUGCUGACCAUUGUCUGCUAUCUUCUUGAUUGGUGUUUACGAAAUUCUUGGUGGUUUGAUGAAUUGAAAUCCACUUCUGAGGUGUUUUGUUAUGAUCCGUCUCAUGUGUGUGCAUAGACAAAAUUAAAUUAGUGGCACUUUUUCAUUUUGUACCUUAUUACAUAUUUUGAAUGUUGAGCGGUGAUCCGUAGAUGUGUAUCCUUCUGCUGUUUGCACAAAGAAAGAAGGUGUUUUACGCACUAAUUGCGGUUGCUAGUAUAAGCUAAUUUCUGAAUACUGGGCUAGAAGGAUAUAACCAUCUUCAACGUAAUCAUUUAAAGUUUAAGGCUCAUGCAACCAUGCAUUCCUCGUCCGUUAGUUUCAACUUUGUAACUUGUCACUGUGCGAUUGCAUGUGCUUCUAACUACGUGUUCCUAUUUUCAGAUUUUGUUAAAAAUUUGAUCCUCAUUGUUUUCUUUGGGUGCAGUGCUGAUAAAAGUGAGACUAGGAGCAACUCUGAGGAAGCACAGAACGAGCAUGUUGAGUCAGAGAACGGGCAUAUUGAACCAGGGAAUGAGCAUGUUGAUGAAAAUUGAGGAGGAGGUUUUACAAGUUCGGUGUAAGGCAUGGGAAAAGAUUUAAGGUUACUAGAGAGCUUGGAUCCAUGAGGCUGUUGAAUUUUCAGUUUCUAUAAUUUAUGUUCCCUGCUGCAACUGUUAUAACAUUGAACUUGAGACGAUUUUUGUAGGCUUUUUAAACAGUUAUACUAGUUUUGCUCAUAGGAUUUGUUUGUAUGUUGUAUUUAAGAUUGAGUACUGUUACUCUAAUUAUUAUUUUUGACCCUUAAAGCUCCCCCGGUUCCCACAUUUGUUGAGCGCUUGUGCAUGGUGUGCAGAUUUUGGUUUUGAAGUUGUGAUCAAGUAAAUCUAGAGUUUUCAGGUGUUCUCUAUAACUUUCUUCUUUUCUUUGACAUGAGAUGUUGUAUAACUUUGUAGGUUUCUGUUUGUGUGAUCGAUAUGUUGCUGAAUGUCUGCUUGGUGCGAGAUGAACAGGGAACGAUACAGGACGAGGGUUAUAGCUUACUGCAUUUAUGUAUUCUGGGUUCAUGCAUUUGUUCUGCUAUAUUGAAAAUAUCUGGUUCAUAUAAUAAUGUAAUUGAUACCAUGAGCAAAAUUUGAGGCAGUGAUUCUCUAUGCACGGACGUCCAUGAAGAAGAAAGUUGAGGUUUCAUUAUAAAAUUAAUCGGUCAUAUGGUGAGUAGUUUAAUUUACUUAUAAGUUCAUGCAAAACCCCUUCUCUCAUCAAUGUGAGAUUCAUUCUUAACUGUCCAUUUUUUACUUAAAUGACUGACGCAUUGAGAAACUGUAAUUUAAACUCUUUAACUCUUUUUACACUGAAACGGACGUCCUGUCUAAAAAAGAACGAGGUGUUUUUCGUCUCCCACACAUAAAAAUAAAAAGUUCACCUUCUUCAUGUGCCCUAGCUAUCACAUGGACAGACACGAGAGAAAGGCCAUACCUUUUGCAGAUGUGUAUUGGCUGGCUUUGCAAAUCAUCACUCUCUCUCUCUCUCAUGAUCUCAUCAAUGUGUGGUGCUACUUUGACGGCCAACGAAAACCCUCCAACCAGCAACUGCUUGGAAUUCAUAUGAUACCAUCUGGCGGCAAACCGACCCACGGCUCUAAUAAUGGUAAUAUGGACUUUUUAUUUUAUUGCCUAGAAAGCAAAAACUCAGGCCCACCGACUAGUGUUUUCUUUGCCAGUUCUCAAAAUUAACAAUGUUUACUAUAGUCUAUUGGUAUUCUUUUUCAUUUGUAAGUGAAAUUUUAGGUUUGAUUCUUUCAAAAUGCGAGUUUCAAUCACAUUAUUGCUAGCCCAUUGUAAGCUCAGUUCACCCUCUCCUCUUAGUAUACAUAAUAUUGUUUGUUAAAAAAAAAACAAUAUUUACUCAUAUAAUUUAGGGUACCCUAUAAUUUACUUGUACUAUUAAUUUCAGUUGAAGUUCACAUGAAAAGCGUUUUCAACUUUUGACUUGCGUAACUGGAGGUAACUAGCUAGGUUUACAACGAGACUUAGGUCUCAUUACUACGUAUAAUUUAGAAUCCACAUGCAUAGAUUUGAUACAGAAUGAUUGUAAUACUAUUGCACAUGGAUGCUAAGUUAUACAAAUCAACAAAAAAUAAACAUUUGAUCGAAACUAGUAUUGGAAGUAAACCGUAAACCGUAAGCAUAAAUUUGGUAAAUUUAAAAUCAGUACUUAAAUUUAUUAAUUAUCAUGAACCGUAAGUAUCACUUGUGACUUUCAAUCAAAAUUUAAAGAGGUUCCAAGUUUGAAUCCGCCAUCUUAUUUGACAAAACUCAUGCAUGGAAUACUGCAAUUAAAUCUCCAACUCAUGCACAUUAAGUUAAUUUCUAGAUGUAGAUGGUUUAGGCCAUUAACUGUUGGUCCAUGGCACUUGUGAUUCAAACAUUAGUUGUAAUGAAACCAAGAAUAUGGGGUUAUUAGAACCAAGCCUUAAACGUACCUCUGCAAGUCUGUACUAUCAAUUGUCCCUCCUAGUUUGAAAAAUAGUGUUCCAUUUCCCCUCACCAUAAAUAUUGGCAGUUGAGAGUUGGCAUAUAAGCAUUGCUUUCACUCCUAGUUCUUCACUCUCUCUCUCUCUCUCUCAUGGAUUGGCCGGAGAAAUUCUUUCUUGUAGCAAUUCUGGUUUUGUUUGUAGGCCAUUGAUGCAGCUCAGGCAAAUACAAUGGUGAGUGGCACUGUCUUCUGUGACCAAUGCAAAGAUGGUGACAGAUCCCUCUUUGAUUACCCCAUCUACGGUGAGUUCCCUACUCUGUAAUUCCCAAUACUACAUUCUCCUUUUUAAUUUAUUUUCGGCGAUUGAAGCCGAAAGAAAGUAAGACAUCCGCUGUUGUAGAUUUGUUAGUAUGAUCUGCUAUACACUAGCAUAGUAGAAUUUUUGAAUCACAUUCUCUACUUAGACUCUUAAUGCUGAACUUAUAUGCUUUGAUUUUUGUAGGAGUUAAAGUACAAGUGGCAUGUAGUGACAGUAAUGGGCAGAUCACAAUGUCAAGGGAAGAGACUACAAAUUGGUUUGGAAACUAUGCCAUCGGGUUUGAUGGGACACCAGAUUUGAGCGGCUGUUAUGCUCAGAUUUCUUCAAGCACAGGGAGUGGCUGUGUGGUUAGUGCUGGUCCUGCUCAAAAUCUUAGACUUGUGUUUAGAAUGUUUGACAUGGGGAUGUAUGUUGUGGACUCUUUGCUCACUCAGCCUGCUCAGCCCAUGUCAUUUUGCCCCAAGUCAUCUAAUCCUGUGCCUGCACCGGUAACGCUGGUUAACCCUCUGCCUAAACCAGUGACGCCGGCAAGCCCUCCGCCUUUUAGGCUCCCCCCCCCAAUGCCUUGAUUGCCGCCACUGCCACCACUGCCCUCGUUGCCUCCAAUGCCGCCAAUGCCCUUCUUGGAAGCUACAGCAUGCCCACAUCAGUAAGCUAUUCAUUAAGCAAAUCGCGUUCGUGUUGGAUUGUGUCAUUCAUUCUUUCGCAAAUCACGAUUUGACACAUUGUAGAAUAUCUAUAAAAAAAAAGUUUACACUCAAGUGUAAACUGUGAUUGGCAAUCAAGUAAGAAUGACUUUCACCAUAGGGAUGAGCCAAAUAUGAAUUUACCAAGUUGUACUAGACUGAAAUGCAUUAGGGUUUAGGGCUGUUUAGCACAACUAAUUCACUACAAAAAAUUAAGAUUUGUUUCUCCGUAUUAGUGUAUACAUGAUUGUUUCAUGACAAGUUGACAACUAACUCUUGAUAUAGUGAUAUUUCUUUUUUCAAACGAAUUCCAAGUUCGAACAUGCCUUCCCUUUCUAUUAGCAAGAAGAAAUGUGUUCCUAGUUGGCAAGCCUCUUUUGCUGACUGUGUGAUCGGAUUGUGAUUCUCAGACAGUGGACACUACCAGAGCACAAAUGCUACUGGAGGGCAGUGAACCCGAACACGAAGGUAGCCGUUAUUUUUGGACCGGUGGUGGCUAGGAGAUAUGGGACUGACCUCACAUUGUGGCAAGGCCUACAGGGAAGAGGAGACCCUUAUAGGACACUCCUAAGGGAAGGGAUCACUGCAUUUCUCAACUCCUACAGCAGCCUUCAAUUUCCUUACAAUUCAAUUGCUGUGGUUCAGCAUUUGAAUUGGGCCUUGAUGGGCUCCAACAGAAAUGUCCUCCUUAAAGGAUUGAGGUUCAUUAGGGCUAAUUCAGGUUAUGGGAAAGUCCCUUGCAAAUUUACUGCUUGCAAGUGAUUUGUGUUUAAGCUUGCUUCUAUGUUUAUCUUAGGCUACAAUUAUGUAUUUUUCAUUUUAGAGAGGAGGAGGCCGAGAGUCGAACUCUAAUUAUUAUGAGUAUAGAGUUAAAGUGCUCUGCCAUUGAAGCUAUAAGCUCUUGCGUAGUAUAAUAUGUACCACACAUUUUUAUGUAUUUUAUUUGAACAAUAGUUCAUCUUCGUCUAUAUUUUUUGUGUUGAGUUGUAUUUCAUCCACAUCUUACCAAUUUGAAGAUUAUAUUCAUACUUACAAGAAUGAGCCAACACUUCAAUGCAGAGGGUAAAACAUAACAAAUUACUACGUACCAAGUAGGAUUCAUCAUUGAGCUCAGCUAGGCUCGGGCAGUGCCCAACGGCCUUUGGGUUGGGCUAGGUCCGAUGGAUCGUGGAUGAUCCAUUCCUUGACCUAAACUCAUGGGUGCUUGGUAACUCUUGAGGUACAUGUGUCAACAGGUAAAAGACAAAUUAAUGCUCGUGGCUUACUUAAUUUUUAUCUAACUACUCUUAUUUAGAUAUGCAACUUAAAUGUACAUUUUUUAUGUGCACUAGAUAAAGCCCCACAUUUAACUUUGGGUUUUCUAGUGGUGAUCCAUGGCAGCUCCAUCAGUGUACUUUCAUGGAACCUCGUGACGGAGGUUGAGUGGGAGUUUGCGGGUGGUUGGUGGCUGGGGAAGUUUAGGAUGGCUACUGAGUUUUGCAAGUUCACAUGCAUUAUCUUCAAAGAAACAAAGGAUGACUCUACACUGUAGUAGUGAGGCAUUAUUGAUAAGUCGAUAGUAACAGUAAGGCAUCACACUUGGGUUUCAAUCAAAUGAAGCGGCCCCAGUCACAAAUCGGUGACAAUGAUGUCUCGAGAUUAUCAACUUGCCCACUUAAAGUCUUAUUUAGAAUUAGAACGUCAAACUCAAAAUUAAUUGAUAAUAAAAUGUAAUCAUCUCCACAUCAACGUCAACAAUGUGAUACACAUGAUUGAUACAAUGUGCAAGCAAAAGACAAAAAAUUAAAAAAAUUUCACCACCAUUAACCAUAUUCUGCAUAAUCAUCGUGAAAAAAGUGACAGAAAUAUUGAUGCGAUUUCUUCCUACAUGUACGAAACAAAGGAACAAUUAUUUCGACCCACUAUGCUUCAACCUGGUUUCACACUAUGCAACCUUAUCUAUAUAUCUCAAGAUAUUAUGUUGCUUUCACAUAUUUUCUAAGGCAACCAUCAAAGAGAUAAGAUAACGAGGGCUUGUUUAGUGAGCUGGAUGAGAUUGAAUUAUAGAGAUAAGUUUGGAGUGGUAGGGAUGGAUUACAUAACUCAUGUGUAUGGUUGGGUUACAUAACCCAUCAUAUUUCUCUUAUUUUGAAUUCGUAGUCAAUCUAAUCCGUGUUACAAUUUUUCUCACCAAACAUUGACUGGAUUACAUGUCCAAUUUAAUUAGAAACAACUCAUUCCAUUCUGUCCACCAAACGGGGUCUCAAAGUAUCUUUUUAAACGUGCCCGGCAAAUUGUAGUGAUGCUGGUCCUUGUGGUCACAGUACCAACAGCAAUAAUGGUGCUGGAAUUGGUGGAAGCAGUGGGCAGAUUUUUUUCUGUUCACACUAUUUCAUAGCUGUUUGUGAUACUUUUCUACUUUCGGAUCCUAUAAAUUUGUUUACACCAAGUUUGGAGUUGCAGAGGCUCCACUAAUACUGCUUCCAUGGAGAAACCAAACCUCCAUCACUUCUCAUCCUUACUUCUGGUUUUUCUGUUUACAUUGUCGCUUGGGACUCGGACAACGGCGGGCCGGAAAUUCUCGAUCAGGGAAGCCACCAUUGACGAUCUCCAACUCGCUUUCAAGCACAACCUACUCACCUCAAGGCAACUUGUCCAGUUCUACCUUGGAGAAAUCAAAAGACUCAACCCUUUCCUUAGGGCGGUCAUAGAAGUGAACCCGGACGCGCUUUACUUGGCUGACAAGGCGGAUUAUGAACGCAAGACUAAGGCGCCGUCCGCGUCACACUCUAAGUUACAUGGGAUUCCUAUUCUGGUCAAGGACAACAUUGCUACCAAGGACAAGUUGAACACCACAGCUGGCUCGUAUGCUCUGCUUGGCUCGGUUGUUCCUCGUGAUGCGGGUGUUGUCACCAAGCUGAGGAAUGCCGGGGCUAUUAUACUGGGAAAGGCCAGCCUGAGUGAGUGGUCCCAUUGGAGGUCCAACGGUGCACCUUCCGGUUGGAGUGCCAGAGGUGGCCAAGGGGUGGUGAGUAGAGGAUCAUUAAAUUUAGUUCCCUCCUACGUAUAUAUAAAAUACCCUUCACUAUCACUUGUAUGAUUAAUCAAUGUUUAAUCGCCGAAUAUUUAAUAUGUUAUGCUGUGAAACUGUCGAGCUAAAACUUACAUUCAAAUAAUAGUAAACCUGAUUAGUUUUGCAGACUGACAAUAUAGCUUGACAGACUGUCUCCUAAGAUAACAUUUCUAUAGUUUAGACUGAACAAGGCAGAAAAAAAAAUCAACAGACUAAGCUUGUUAGGUGGAAUGCAGAACCCUUACAAUUCUCUUGCAACACCUUGCGGCUCAAGUAGCGGUUCAGCAAUAUCAGCGGCAGCAAAUCUGGCAACAGUGACACUCGGGACUGAAACAGAUGGAUCAAUUUUAUGUCCAUCCAGUUAUAACUCAGUCGUGGGCAUCAAACCAACAAACGGUCUUACUAGUCGAGCAGGGGUAGUCCCAAUCUCCCUAAGACAGGACACAGUUGGGUAAGUGGUGAUCAAUUUACGUAAUUUCUACACAAUAUAGAGGACGCUCUUGCGUAAACUUAGUUUUGGAUAAAUUUUAGUCUUAUUUACUAUUUUUUCUCUCUUUGUUUGUUGGUGUUGGGUUGAACAGGCCAAUUUGUAGGACAGUAUCAGAUGCUGCUUAUGUUCUUGAUGUCAUUGCAGGCAUCGACCAGAACGAUGUUGCAACGACUAAGGCAUCGAGGUACAUUCCCAAGGGUGGCUACGCACAGUUCCUCAGGCGUGAUGGGCUUAGAGGAAAGCGAAUAGGGAUAGUGAGAGCCUUAUUUAACAUCUCCGGCCAAACUUCGUCGACUCCAAUUUAUGAAAAACACUUCAACACGCUGAGGUAACAAAAAAAAUCAUAGAUUAGUCUCAAUCGGAGACAUGUAUCUAUUCUUAUGAAAUACUAAUUAAGUUGUUGGAAAAUUAAAUUUAGGAAAGGUGGUGCUGUUUUGGUGGACAAUUUGAAAAUACCACAUUUUGAUGAAAUCUAUUCCGAUGGAAGUAGUGAAACUACUGCACUGUCAGCUGAGUUCAAAAUAUAUAUAAACACAUACCUUAAGGAGUUGGUGGCUUCGCCAGUCCGAUCCUUGGCGGAUUUGAUAGCCUUUAACAAUAAAAACGCUAAAUUGGUGAGUACAUAGGUGCAAACUGAUGUUCUUCCCAAACUACGGUCUUCGUUCUGAAUAAGUAGGCUGUGGAAACUAAAACGAUUUUGAUUACUUGGAAUGCAGGAGAAGGUGAAGGAGUAUGGCCAAGGCCUAUUUUUAGAAGCUGAAGCAACAAAUGGAAUAGGAAGUGCAGAGAAGGCAGCAUUGUUAAAUUUGGCAAGAUUUGCGAAGGAUGACUACGUGAAUUUAGUGACGAAGAACAAGCUAGAUGCCGUGGUGGCUCCUCUUGCACAAGUGUCGCCGUUGCUAGCGAUUAGCGGCUCCCCGGGUGUGGUUGUCCCAGCAGGAUAUGAUGAUGGGGUACCAGUUGGCCUUUCCUUUGGGGGGCUGAGGGGUUGGGAGCCAAAGCUAAUUGAAAUGGCAUAUGGCUUUGAGCAAGCAACUAAGAUUAGGAAGCCUCCUUCACUUACAAAGUUGAAGUUUUAGAGCUACACUAAGUUGUAAUGCCCGUGCGCUGUUGCAUAAUUAGAAAUCAACUUUCCAGCAGUAAAUAAAUUUGAGCUACUAAAUGUAUGUUAGUAUAACAUUGAUAAAUCUAAAUAAAAAUAUCUCAAGAGAGGAAUAAUUUUAUUUGCUGCAGAAAAAUUCUUGUUUUGUUAUUUUACAAAUGCAAUUCGCUCCAACUUCCUUGGUAUCAUUGCUCAUCUCAACAACAAUCUUUGACAUUCUAAACAACUAAAAACGAAUGCACAAUUUCUCAAUCAAAAUUAGAAGCAAACCGAUUCAACAAUGAAAACAUUUGCAAACAAGCUGUAUAAGCAUUAAAUGUGAAGGGGGAACGAACCUUCUGCAUGGUCUUCUUGAAGCAUGUUUUAUGUUUAAUUAUAGAUGCAUUGAGUCACUUAGUACUAUGGUAUAUUGGUAUUCCUCUUCACUUGUAAGUAAGAGGUUUUAGGUUUGAUUCUUGCUAAAGGCGAAUUCGAACCAAAUUAUUGCUAGCCCAUUGUGAGGCUAAGCUCAUCAUUUUCUUUUUAGUGUAGAUUAUAUCGUUUGUUCAAAAAAAAAAAAAAAAAAAACCCAUAGAUGCAUUGACAAAAUCAUCAAUGUGAUUCUUUAAAUCCUCCAAGAAAGUGGCUUGCUCGAUGCGACUCUUCGCUAUUGUGCUUUUAUUAUGACUAGUUGGACCACCUAUCCAUUAGACCCAUUAUAUAGAUAAUAUCAUUAGACCCAUUUACAUCUCAAACCCUACUAUCAUUGGAUGUAUUUAAACUAUUUUUCUUAUAUAAAGACGAUUAUGAAUGAAGAUAUGAAUUUACUUUGAUUUAUUUUCCAUUUUUUGCAUUUACUUUUUUGCAAUUUCCCUUUCAUGUCUAAUCCUAUCAUGCUCGUUCUUCUUUUAACAUGAAGUGGCGGCUAGGGUUGCAGCAGUAGGUGAUGGCUCAUGUUGAGUUUUAUGUGAUUCCAUUGUUAGUAGCACCUGAUACAGAAGUCAUUCAUUAUAGAAGAUCUAAACGAAUGACAGACCAGUGGGUUUCAAUUUUAAAUAAUGCAAACCGAUCAUUUUAAAAAUUCAAGCCACUGCAACACAUUCAGUACUAUCAAUAUAUGCAGGAUAAAAAAACUUAAGUAGACUUAAGUAGAACCAACCAACAAAUUCAGUUUGAUUUAUUUUACUCUUGGUCUAAAUGUUACUAGCAAGAAUGUCCCCGCUCUGCUGCGGUAUUUGAAACCGUUAAUUGUGCUUUCAACAAAAUAAUUCUAUAAUUUAAAUCAUCCAAACUUGGUGAACAUGGUAUUUUGUCUAUCAUUAUAUCCUUCCUCUCACAAUUUUUAUGGAAUAAAAAUCCAAACUUUAAACAAUUCUUAACAUAAUUUUGCAAAUAAUCUUGCAUUUAAGCACGUUCAAAACCAGCAGCUCUUUCAAUUUCUUUUCUAAAGGAAGAAAAGGAAAAGUGUUCAUCGCUGAUAUUGUGCAUCCAAUAUACUGGUUUCUUGUCUACCUUCUCCUGCUGAGACCAUCUUCAAAGGAAAUGUCAAAUUAUAAGAGUCAAAUUACAAUUGAUGGUUGAUGUGAUAAUCUGAAGCCUUAUGUCAAAUUUUGUACUUCUCCAACCGAACUGUUAAAUAUUAUUUUAUUAUUUAAAUAGAGCUUUAAAUGAUUGUAAUUAUUAAAAAAAUGUUGAAACAAAAUUUUUAUUGAUUGAAAUGUUAGUAGAAAAAGGGAUCCACUAUUAAAAUGAAUUAAAAAUAAAUUUGACAUCAAAUCGUUAAGCCUUAAAAUCCAAUCAGCAAAUAACAUUUCAUUUAGAAAGACUUUUAAUGUUAAAUAUGUACAUUGACAUUCCACCUAGAAUUUUAACAUCUCCCUCGAAGAUGCUCUAAUCCUGUUAUCAAAAACCCAUCUCAUUCUUUCCCUCAGAGACUUGAAACCCAAUCCCAACGUCCAUGUACCACCUCCCAAUAUCAAUUCCUAACAAAAUAAAUGCAAAAGCAAAAUCAGCAGCACUUUCAAAUAUAUUAAAGGAAAAGUGGGAACUAUUAUUAAGAAGGGUAUUGUUAGAGAGACUAAAUUCAGAAACUAAAUUUAUAAAUUAAAUGAUGUGUCACUAAUAGAAAUGAGUACGUUUAUAAAUGUUUAAGUAAUAAAUCAAUCAUCAACUUUUAUAUCCUUUAGUUUCCAAAAUUUAGUUUACAAAUUUAAUCUCCCUAACAUUACCAUAUCAAGAAAGGUGCAAACGAAAUGCAUUCAUCACUGAUAUUGAAGAGAAAACGAAGUGUAUUAGUAUAUUUAUGGGUAAAUUACAUUUUACUCCCUCAGGUUUGGAUGUAAUUGCAACCUUAUAUAACAUCUUUAAAACAUUUCAAUCUCAUACAUUAAGUUAUUAUUUUAUUUUAAUUUCAUAUAACCGAUAAAAAUUUUGUUAAAUUAGUUGUUAAGUGAUGAUGUGGUAGUGGUGGGCUCUACAAUUUUAUUGAUAUGGCUGUCAGCUUGUGCCACGUGGCAAAACAAAUAAAAAAUAUAUAAUUAAUAAAAUAUCUUUCUUUUGUUAAAUUUUUGUAUUAAAAAAAAAAGCCAAACCCUCCUCAGUCUCGCGCCAUUCAAGCCAUCAAGGUAUAAAAUAUCGAUAAUAUCGGAAAUAUCGGUAGUCUAAAAACACGAAAAUAUCGAUGGAAAUAUCGAGAUAUUAUCGAUAAAAAUAAUAUGGAAACCAUGGAAAUUGUAAGAAAAACUUGGAAAUUUUUAUUGAAACUUUGUAAGAUGUUUAUUUAGUCAAUUAUCUAUUAGUUUAUCACAAAAAAAUUGGAAGGAAAUGCAUUGCAUGAUAGAUUUAACUGAUUUAAGUUGAUUAUUUAGCGAGCUGGCAAACAUUGUGAGUGUAGAAAAUAUGUAGUAAUUAAUGAAAGAAGUUUAAACACACCAUAAUCAUUUAUAUAUAAUGAAUUAGUACAAUAUUUUACACUUUAUACAUUGUAUGGUAAGAUACAUGAGUGACUUAGUACCACAUAGAGCUCCUAUGAGGUUCAAAAUUUUCACUAUCUUCGUCAUCUCUAUGUGUAGAGUAAGUGUAUUUUAGCAUAUUUUUACAAAAAACAUAAGUGAUAUGGUGGUCAAGGUGUUGAAGGAGUAAAAUGGGAGAGGUUCGAACCCCUUUGGUGUUUUUUUAAAUAUAGAAAUCCUUGGUGUUUUUUUAAAUAUAGAAAUUUAUCCUAAAUAAUAAAUAUUAGCUUGCAAGCCUUGCAGACAUCUUAACGACCAUAUAAAUAUUACAAGCUGAAUAUGUAAUCAUAAACACAUCUAUAAUGAGUUGGAUAAAACUCAGGUGCGUGGUUGACAAAGGGUGGGGUUCGAAUCCACUUGGUGUAUUUUUUUUAUUUUUAUUUUUUUUAUUGGGGAAGAACCUUUCCAAAGAAAGGAGACAAUUUUUUUUGGGGAAGAACUUUUUUGUUUUAUGUCCCCUACCCGAGACCCCCUUUCUUUCUUUCUCUGCACACUCUCUUCUCUCUCGAAACCCUCUCAUCACUCUCACUCUCUCUCCCGUGAUUACCCUAGUACACGGCACCCACACCAUCGUUCCGUAGACGCCAUCACCAUCAAAACCUCGUCUUUCUCUCUCUUCCUCUUGUCUCUGCAAGAUCGACGAAACCCAGAAACCUCCGGUGAGUUUUCUUCACUUUCUCCGGUUAGGUAAACUUUGGGUUUAACUCUAUUCGUUCUAGUUGAAGCUUGGGUGUGUGUUAUUAAGUGUUAUACUCGUAAUUUUCCAAGAUUUUGGAACGAGAUCAGGUCGGGGGAAAGCUCACCCAACUUCGGCGAACCCGUGACUGUUGAGGAGCUUUCCGAACACCUUCGGCCAUUUCACGGCAAACCAAGGGUAUAAACUUACUCCUCUCUCUUUCCUCUUCACGUUGGUAAUUAGAUCGGAGUCUAAGGUUUGCGUUUGUAAUCGGUCGGAGCUGUAGAAGCUCCGGCGUUCUUCUUCGAUUUGCACAUAUCCAAAAUAUCGCGAUAUUAUUAAUAUUAUCGAUAAUAUCGCGAUAUUUUGACGAAAACUCAUUAGAUAACCAUUAAAAUAUCGGUAACUCAAAAAACCGAUAUUAUCGGCCAUAUUUCGCCGAUAAUAUCGGCAUUUAAGACCUUGCAAGCCACUGUAACAAAUUCAGUACAAUCAUCAUAUGCAGAGUAAAAAAACCUAAGUAGAACCAACCAACAAAUUCAAUUUGAUUUAUUUUACCAUUGGUCUAGAUGUUAUAAUUGAAAACUUGCUUAUGUAUCGAGGAAAAGUAUGUUGAAAAUGCAUAAAUUUUCUUCCCAAUAUACAUGAGUUUGUAAAAGGAAAUACUAUUAUGAAAUUUGAAUUUACUUGGUCAAGUAAUGAGUGGCCUUUUGUUAGUACCCCGGUCAAUUCUUGACAAAUAUAUUAUUUUACUUUCUUUGAUAAUAGCUAAAAAUAUUGUCAGUAAAUUAUUAUUUCAAUUCCCGAAAUGAUAUGAGGAUUUAAAAUAUUGAAAUAGAAAAAUGCUUGUUAAAAUGUACAAAGAACGGCGCUUAAUUGUCAAGAAAAGAAAAUUAUGACAAAUUUAUUUUUUUAUUUUUUAACUUGUUAAAAAAAGAAGUAAAUAGACAUGGGGUUACGGUUAAAUGCAUACACGACUACAAACAACCGUUUAUAAAAAGUUAUGAAUAUUAGUAUACCCGAUUAUUCAAUUAUCCAAUAAAUAAAGCAGUUCGCUGCUUGUCAUAACCGCACAACAAAUAUAUACUAACCUAAGAUAUCUUAAUUUAUGUUAGCAACAAAAGCAAUAGAUUAAACAAUAAUAAAUGCAGCAGUACAAAAAUAAAGUUGAAAAUAUAAUGAAUUAUACGACUCCAUUCCCAAAAGCAUCGAAAGCAUAUAGCACCAGACAGAGGAGAGAAAGUGAGGUAGUGUGUCAAUGGCAGCUGGGGAUGACUUUCCCUUGACGGGUGGAGGUGAGUUCGAUUUUGUUUGUUUGAUUCAAUUUAGAUUUAACUUGGUUUUUAGUUUGAUUAAUUUUGUCUUAAUUUGGUUUGCAUUAGACUUAAAUUACAGAUUAUUUGGUUUCAAUCUGCAUCUUUUUCCUGGGUUUUGGAUGAAUACCUUCACAAAUUAGCCUGCUUGGUAUUCUUCUUAUCCAAUUUUUUCUGUUUUUGAAACUAAUGAGUAUUAAGUAAUGUAGUUAUAUUCGUUCUUUUUAAAAACUAUAAAUUAUUUUAGAUUUUAAGCCUUCUUCUUUCUUUCUUCUGGGUGUGUUUGCUGAUAUCAGGAAAUUUCAAAAAUAUCGUUUAACGUCGUCGAUAUCUCACCAGGGAGACAACACUUUUUAAACAAAAUGAUGUGGUUGUUGAUGAUGGAUUAUUACUUAACGUGCUUAUUUUCUGGUGACACGUUAUUUGGUUUGCAAAUUUGAUUUAAAAUUUUGGUCUUCACAGCAUUACCCUCUCAACAAUAUCAAGUAAAAGUUUAUCUAGUUUGGAAGAAUUCUUUAGUGUGACUGUUAGAUCAUCACGUGACAUUCUAUUUAUGUGUUCUAGGUUCAUGAAUAUCAUCUGUCUUCAACCUAUAUUAUUCAAGACAUGUAAACUAGUAGCAUCAUGUACAAAACCUCCCUCACACUUCAUCCUUAUUUCUGGUUCUUCUCUUUAUAGUGUCGCUCGGGACACAAGCAACUACAGUCCAUGGAUUCUCAAUCAAGGAAGCCACCAUAGACGAUCUCCAACUCGCUUUUGAGCACAACCAACUCACCUCAAGGCAACUUGUCCAAUUUUACCUUUCUGAAAUCAGUAGCCUCAACCCUUUCCUUAAGGCGGUCAUAGAAGUGAACCCGGAUGCGCUUGACCUUGCUGACAAGGCUGACUAUGAGCGCAAGACUAAGGCGCCGUCCGCAACACUCUCCAAGUUACAUGGCAUUCCCAUUCUUGUCAAGGACAACAUUGCA
This 36156-nucleotide long non-coding RNA is filed under the name Malus domestica (apple). RNAcentral's name for it is "long non-coding RNA (MDOM_LNC009355)". The record is from RNAcentral. Lineage: Eukaryota; Viridiplantae; Streptophyta; Magnoliopsida; Rosales; Rosaceae.